Marmota monax (woodchuck) is the source of this 3454-nucleotide long non-coding RNA. RefSeq lists it as uncharacterized. The record is from RefSeq and is a predicted model, not a curated record. Lineage: Eukaryota; Metazoa; Chordata; Mammalia; Rodentia; Sciuridae. The transcript is spliced from 4 exons.
AGCUGCGCCCGAGUCAAGGGAGGGCGUGGAUGAAAGAAGACCUCAGGGAGCAGGUGCAUUCUAGCACGAAUUGAAGAGAGAAAGCAAGAUCAUUUCCUAGAGACAUGGCAGGCUUGGGUAAAACUUAUGCAUAAUUAACCAGGAGUACCUGGCAGGAUAGGUUGGAUGGCUGGAGGCAAGAACAAAAGAUUCGAAGACUCCAAGUGAUUUGGAAAGAUGCCUUGACCCUUGAAGAAAGAGGGUCUCAAAAACCUGUGUGUUCUAAAAAGUUCAACAUAUGAGGGAGACCAAAGCCCAGAGAAAUGAAGAUGUCAGGGACACUCUGCUGGGUCUAUGACUCUCAGUCUGUGCCUUCUCUGAGACUGCAGAGGGGAUCCACCAGACGCUGCUGCCCGCUGCUGACCUGGCCCAGAGACACUUGCGAAAAAAAAUUCUAGACAGAUUGAAGAUCUAAAUUUUAAACAGAAAACACAAUAAGAAUAACAGAAGAAAAUAUCGGGGCAUAUUUGUGAAAUCUCAGUUUGGGAGAGACUUGAAAAAUACAAUGUCUUCCAAAAAAAACUUCCUCAGCCAUGAAGAAAAAAUAAUGAUGUAUCUGACAACAAAAAACUAGAAAUUUCCUCCAGGCAAGAAAUAAUAAAGUCUAUAUAGGACAGACAAGAAAUUAAUAUCUUCACAUUAUGAAGAACUCAUCAUCUCUUGAAGAAAACAGGAAAACGGGAAAAGAAAAAUGGGCACAGGAUGUGAAUAAUGCUUACAAAUGAACUUCAAAUAGCCAAUAAAUGUAAGAAAAGAUGCUCAAUUCUGUUAGAGAAAUGCAAAUCACAAUAGAAGUAAGCUAUUGUUUUAAAAUCCAUCAUAUUGACAAAAUAUUAAAAUCUGCUGAUUUAUAAGACUACUCCCAUGGUGGGUGGUGGGCAGGGGGGAGGGGGAACCAAAAUGAAAAUAAUCCAGAAGUUUCUCAAAUGAGGAAAUGGAUGAACAAGUCACGGAAUAUUACAGAGUUCUACCAAAAAAUAAAUGACCUGUGUAUGUAUUGGCAUCGAGUGGCAAAGGCAAAUUCCAGAGUAAUGUGAUAAUUAACAUUUAUUGAACAUUUACACCUUGUACUAUGGUUAGGAUGUGGUUUGUCCCCUAAGGGUUCAUGGGUCAGAGGUUUGGUCUUCAGAGAGGUGUUUGACCUUUAAAAGGUGGGACCUAUUGGGGAGUUCUUAGGUCAAGGGGGGCACUGCUAUCAGAGGCAUUAAGGUGGUUAUUGUGGGACCCCAGUCAGUUCCCACAAAGGGAGUUGCUAUAAAAGCAUGAGCUGGACCCUCGCAUUGCUGUCUGGCUUCCUGUGACACUGAAUUCUCCUGCUUGCGUGUGCUCCCAUCCCCUACCCUGUAAGACCACCAAGGGCACCCUCUUCAGAGGCUGGCCUUUCAGCCUCCCAAACUGUGAGCUAAAUAAGCCUCUUUUAUUUAUAAGUUAUUCAGAUAUUUUAUUGUAACCACAGAAAAUAGAUUAAUAUACUAUAGUAGUGGGUCUGAUGUCCUUGUUAAGCUUUGUUGGGGGGAGUCUCUCAACUUUCCCUGUAUUUCUCAUCCUGGUGGGUUCUGAGUUUUGGCUUUCUCUGCUUUGUUUAUUUGUCUUCCAAAAAUGUAUAGUCCUUUGGUGGCUUCCUCUCCUCGUCUCUUUAAUUUUGAAAUUUUUAUCCCUGUCCCUUAAAAAAAUACGCACACAGUGAUGUUCUCUGGAACAGCAGGAGGCAGAUGUGCAUGUGAAGCUCACUCUCUCCAAUAAGAAGCCUUUAAUUUCAUGUUAUUAAAUAAGAAAUAGGGAGAAAAUACACCUGCCUACGUGGGCAUUGAUUUGUAGGAGGGCAGAGGAAGAGACACAGGAGUUUACAGUUGAUCUGACACGUAGGCAGUCUAUUGCCCUUGACUGGACAGCCCUGAUGAUUUUGUUAAUAACAUGAUUUCACUUUACGACUGUGUAUGUGACCUGAAUCAACCAGGCACUGAAUCUAUUAUCAUCGUACAACUGUGUCAGUGUUAUUUACUCAAAAAGAAGGCAAAACUCCACCCCUGCUAAAACAGAUCAUAUUAAUUAAGGCCUCCAAGUCAGAUGGAGCCUUUUAAAAUCUGAAUAAUAGCUAGGAAUAAAUCAUAUUGUUUAAGGAUUUAAGAGUUCCAUUGUAUUAGUCAGCUAGGGCUGCUAUAACAAAAUAUCAUAGACCAGGUGGCUUAAACCACAGAAUUUUGUUUUCUCAAUUUUGGGGGCUGGUAGUCCCAGAUGGAGGUCUGGUAGGGUCAGUCUCUGGUGAGGCCUCUGUUUCUGGCUUCCAACAGCUGCCACCUUCUCACAUAGCAAAGAGAGAGCUCAGGUGUCUCUUCUUGUCCUUACUAGGACACUGGCUCUAUUGCACUAGGGACCCACCAUCUUCAAAUACAGCCACAUUCGGGGAUUAGGGUGUGAGCAUGUGACUUUUGGGAGAAACCCAAUUCAGCCCAAAGCACCUGUCCCUUAGAUUUCUAUGUUACAUUAAAAAAAAAAUCUAUAGAGAAAAUGGUAAGAAUAGGAAAAGGAAAUUACAUUUAAAUGCACCUUUGUGACAUGCUGAGAUCAUAAGGAGAUUUGAAAACUCUCUUAGUCUUCUUAACAUGUGUUUGCAAAAUUAUUUCCUUUGCUUUCUGCUAGGCAGUGUGGUAAGCUCAUUAAAAGUCAGGGGAGCAGCGGGUUCCAUUAUCAGUGCACUAAACCACAGGAUUAACAAAUAUUUUAGCAAAAGCAAUCACAUUUAUUCAUGUCCCCAUAGGGCUGUGGUCUAAAACAAUAAACUUAACCAUAAUAAUUUUAUAUUCAUUAAUCAAAUAAAUCAAUUCCUCCAUCUACCUUUUCUAGUAUACGGCAAAAUCACUGAUAAUAAAAGGGGACAGGGGGAGGAAAAGAAGGAUUUUAUUUUGAAAAAAAAAAACGAUACUGUUAGAAAAAGAAGAAACCCGAAGGUGUGCGAGCAAUUAACUCACAUUACUUGGCAGCUCAUGAUCCUGGCAGACUGCAGGCAAAGAGUUAAUGAACGUGGUUUACUCCGUUGUUAACCACACUCCAGAUUUGGAGGGGGUGGCAGGAAUUUAGAACCAAAAUACUGGAAAGGCCAGCAGGGACACCAGAAGACAGAUGGCAGAGAGAGGAAAGUUUUUUUUCCCAUUCAUUCACCAAAUAUAAUUAAGUAUCUUUUUUUUUUUUUUUUUUUUUAAACCGGUGCUGGGUAUGCAACCUGCUAAGGAUUUCUUCAUUUCACUUCAGCCUGGUCUCUGAUGCCUGGUCUCAUGUACAUCAUUGCCUGCUCUCCUGCUUCCCCGAGUUCCCUCCAAGCCAUUUUCCAUGAAGCAGCCCAGUGAUUGACUGAUUGAUUUCUUUUUUCUUUUUCCUUUCUCUCCCUUCCUCCCUCCCUCCCUCCCUCCCUCCCUCC